GAAUCUGUUCAUUAAUUCGAUACAACACGUUAAAUUUUACUUACUUUGGAGAAGGUUUGUAUACCGUCAUUAAGAUAAUUUUGAUAAAAAUUUAUUAAAAAAAAGAAUUUUAAGAAAUUAAAUCAAGGUGCAGCGCAUAAGUAAGGUAGAAAUGGAUUACAAUAGUUUUAAACUGUGGAUAGACUUACGAAAAUAGGUCUGGAAAGUGGAUUUAAUAGUAUAUUGGAUAAUAUAGCAUAUCAGGUAGAAAUUAGCUCUAAGUUAUGUACAUAUUGCCCG
This 279-nucleotide ribosomal RNA is filed under the name Dorippoides nudipes. RNAcentral describes it as "partial 12S ribosomal RNA". The record is from RNAcentral. Lineage: Eukaryota; Metazoa; Arthropoda; Malacostraca; Decapoda; Dorippidae.